This 301-nucleotide ribosomal RNA is filed under the name uncultured bacterium. RNAcentral describes it as "partial 16S ribosomal RNA". It matches the Rfam family "Bacterial small subunit ribosomal RNA", at positions 509 to 807 of the family's 1533-position model. The record is from RNAcentral.
CAGUAGCCACGGGAAUACGUAGGGCGCGAGCGUUACCCGGAUUUACUGGGCGUAAAGGGCGUGUAGGCGGCCUGGGGCAUCCCAUGUGAAAGGCCACGGCUCAACCGUGGAGGAGCGUGGGAUACGCUCAGGCUAGAGGGUGGGAGAGGGUGGUGGAAUUCCCGGAGUAGCGGUGAAAUGCGCAGAUACCGGGAGGAACGCCGAUGGCGAAGGCAGCCACCUGGUCCACUUCUGACGCUGAGGCGCGAAAGCGUGGGGAGCAAACCGGAUUAGAUACCCCCGUAGUCCCUGUCUCUUAUAC